This 400-nucleotide ribosomal RNA is filed under the name uncultured bacterium. Its description in RNAcentral is "bacterial SSU rRNA". It matches the Rfam family "Bacterial small subunit ribosomal RNA", at positions 358 to 773 of the family's 1533-position model. The record is from RNAcentral.
GGAAUUUUCCGCAAUGGGGGCAACCCUGACGGAGCAACGCCGCGUGGGGGAGGAAUGUCUGUGGAUUGUAAACCCCUUUUCUCAGGGAAGAAGAUCUGACGGUACCUGAGGAAUCAGCAUCGGCUAACUCCGUGCCAGCAGCCGCGGUAAGACGGAGGAUGCAAGCGUUAUCCGGAAUUAUUGGGCGUAAAGCGUCCGUAGGCGGUUCAUUAAGUCUGCCGUUAAAGACUACAGCUUAACUGUGGGCGAGCGGUGGAAACUGACGAACUGGAGUGCGGUAGGGGUAGAGGGAAUUCCCAGUGUAGCGGUGAAAUGCGUAGAUAUUGGGAAGAACACCAGUGGCGAAGGCGCUCUACUGGGCCGUAACUGACGCUGAGGGACGAAAGCUAGGGGAGCGAAA